Molecule: RNA transcript, 5448 nt
Organism: Dendrobium catenatum
Lineage: Eukaryota; Viridiplantae; Streptophyta; Magnoliopsida; Asparagales; Orchidaceae
Gene name: pentatricopeptide repeat-containing protein At1g80270, mitochondrial
Exons: 8
Source: RefSeq, a predicted model, not a curated record
AAGAAAAAAUCGGCUUGUUUAGGUCGACCUACGCCCGUGGGUUUAGGGUUUUAGAAUUCGAGCCCCUCCUGCUCUUUCUAUUGUGUGUACUGGGAAGUUAAGAGAGAGGUUCCUCACGGGCUAGUUCGCAGGGCUUUUGGGAUCGCCUACUCCACUUGACCUUUCUUCUCUCAAUUUGUUUGUGUUCUCAACGACGAUGUGGGCGAUUCGUAGAGCUCCAAAUCCUAUUAGGAAUCAGAGUUGCUGCAUGCUGUUUAGCCAUGCUUUUUAUGCUAAGCCUGAAGCAUUUAGUAAUUUGGACAAUGGAGUUCAGUAUUCAAAAGUUUGUCUAAUUAAUGGAACUUAUCAUCUGACAAGGCCUGUUUCUGGCGGAGGCUUUCAUCGUUCACUGCUUUUAGUUUGGGGAAGAAACCUUUCUUCUCAGGUAGGACCUAAGUCUAGUGACAAGGAGGAUGACUUGGAGGAUGGGUUUUCUGAUCUUGAAGUACCUCCAGAAAUUGAGAAGAUUGAAGAACUUGCUGAAAAGAAUGAUGAUGAAUUGGUUUCUGAAGCAGAUAGUGCUGAGGAAGAUGUCGAUGAGGCUGAUAAGGGCUCCCUUGCAUUUUCUGAUACUGAUGAAAAAGAACUUGCCAAGAAGAGUCGUAGUUCUCCAGUUUUCAAAAUCAUAAUGGAAGCUACUCGCCUUUCUUUAACCAGUGCCCUUGAUCAGUGGGUGGAAGCAGGGAAUCCUUUGGGACGAGGUGAAAUAUCACUUGCAUUGCUGAACCUUAGAAAGCGUCGGUGGUAUGGAAAGGCCUUGCAGUUUAUGGAGUGGUUGGAAACAACUAAGCGUCUUGAAUAUGAAGAACGUGAAUAUGCAUCUCGUCUAGACUUGGUUGCUAAGGUUCAAGGCCUUCAAAAGGCAGAAAACUACAUUGAUAAAAUCCCCAAAUCCUUCAGGGGCGAGUUCCUAUAUAGAACUCUUUUAGCCAACUGUGUUGCUGCUGUUAAUGUUAAAAAAGCAGAAGAAGUAUUCAAUAAGAUCCGGGAUCUUGGCUUCCCCAUUUCAACCUUUGCUUGCAACCAACUAAUAUUGCUUUAUAAAAGGGUGGACCGAAAGAAGAUUGCUGAUGUACUUAAAAUGAUGGAAAAGGAAGAUGUUAAGCCAUCUCUCUUCACAUAUAGGCUUUUGAUAGAUACCAAAGGGCGCAUACACGAUAUAUCGGGCAUGGAAGAGGUUCUUGCAACAAUGAAGGCAGAAGGCAUUGAGCCUGACUUAUAUGUGCAAGCUGUAAUCGCAAAGCACUAUAUUUUUGCAAGUGAAAAUCAGAAGGCUGAGAAAUUAUUAAAGAAUAUUGAAGGGGAUGACAUCAGUAAGAACCGUGCUGCCUGUAAACCUCUUCUUACUCUAUAUGCGGCCCUUGGGAAGACUGAUGAUGUAGAGAGAAUUUGGAAUGUGUGCGAGCAAAAUCCCCGAUUAGAAGAAUGUUUAGCUGCCAUUGAGGCUUGGGGCAAGCUGGGAAAAGUGGAAGAUGCUGAGAAAGUAUUUGAGAAAAUGAUGAAAUCAUGGAAGAGACUUUCUUCAAAAUAUUACAAUGUUCUUUUGAAGGUUUAUGCUAAUCACAAGCUUUUAUCCAAAGGGAAGGAAUUGGCAAAGAGGAUGUCAGAUAAUGGGUGUCGGAUUGGCCCUUUGACUUGGGAUGCUCUGGUGAAUCUCUAUGUGGAGGCUGGGGAGGUUGAGAAAGCUGAUACUAUUUUGCACAAGGCUUCUGAACAGAAUCAGGUCAAGCCACUUUAUAACUCUUAUAUUUCUGUGUUGGAAAAAUAUGCCGACAGGGGUGACAUUCAUAAUGCGGAGAAGAUAUUUCAUAGGCUAAGGCAGAUAGGUUAUGUUGGUAGGAUGAGGCAGUAUCAGUUAGUACUGCAGGCCUAUGUAAAUGCCAAAACGCCAGCAUAUGGGUUUAGGGAGAGGAUGAAAGCAGAUAAUAUUUUCCCCAACAAGAUUACGCUUGCACAGUUGCAAGCUGUUGAUGCAUUCAGAAAGACACAGAUUUCGGAGCUGCUCGACUAAGUUUUUUUCUUAUUUAUCUGCAUUUUUAAACGAGGUGUGUAGGAUCCGACGUCAAAUGUGUGGAUACUCCACUAUCAAGAUACCAAUCAGCAGACUCUGAUUGUGAUUGCGAAUUGAAGAAUGUUGUAACUGGUUGUUCUGUGUUAUAUUUUUCAUCAUGCCUAUACCAGCAUUUUACUGCUGAAUGACCAUAUUUUCCGCAUAUUUGACAUGUUAUAGCUGGUCUAGUCGUUUUACCUCCUCGAUUUGUAUUUGUAGCAUUCGUUGUAUUUGCAGCACCUGACUGUGAUCGAUUGUUAUAUGAGUUUCUUCCUCCUCUUACGUCCUCUUGCUGCUGCUAAUGCUGUGGAAUUGCCCGAGAGCUGGAGUGAUUGAAGUUCUCUGCUAGUUUCAUGAGCAAGGUUAAUUUCCUCACUACAUAGUAAUGUAUACAAAUCAUCCAAAUUUAAUGGCUAUAGAUUUGUUCGGAUUGCUUUUUUAAACGCCUAAUACGUGUUUGGCAAUCCAUUUAGCGUAUAAUGAAUGACAUCUUCAUCAUCCAAUGUGUACCCAACUGCUGCUAGUGAAUCUACUUUUGUUUUGACAUCUAACAGGUAUUGACUCAUUGUUUUAUCCUUCAUAGUCAAAUGGUGCAUUUCUUUUUUGAGUUGAAUUAUUUUGGAUCUGGUGCUUGAUAGAAGUCUUUUAUCCAGGGUAUUCCAUAUGUCUUUACUGUGUUCAACAGUGAGCACAUACGGUAAUAUUGCUGGAGAAAUUACUGAAUAAAGAGCUGCUGCAAGAUUUUGAUCUAAUAGAUUCCAAUUUGUAUAAUCUGGAUUUACAAUGUUUUGCCCUGUGGCAUUUUGUUUGAAUUUUGACGGUGCUUCAUUGCUUCCAUAAAAAAAUCCUUCAAAACCAUUUGCACGAAAUAGUUUGUGUACCUGUGAUCUCCAGAUCGGAAAAUUUUCUGCUGUGAGGGAUUGAGAAAUAAUAUUCUUGAUAUUUCCCAUCAAGAAUUUGAGUGAUGAUGGAAUCUGCGGUAGAUCGUUCAUCCUUGGAGUUGCUAUUUCUUCUUCUUGAUUUGUAGAAGACAUCGUAGAUGAAUUUCUCAUACACUUUUAUUUGAAGAAAAAAAAUUGAUAUAUGGAUCAAUGCUCUGAUACCAUGUAAGAAAUCAUUCUCUGGUAAUAACCAGAGAAUUGAAAGCAGAAAAGGCGGAAAACAAUUAGCGGGAAAAGCCACUUCCGUCUUGGAUGAGUAGGCUUAUUUAUAUUUGAUUUUCAAGAAUUCUGUUACAAACAUGUGGUUAGAAAUGACUUAAGAGCAAUUAACAAUACAUGGCCAAUAGUUAGCCAGGUGUACAUAACAACAAGUAAAACUAUCUGUAUAUCUUAACAAAUUCAAUGUGCAGGAAUUUUUCUUUAGAUUCUAGUGAGUUUGCUUGACUUUUGACCACUUUAUUUGGAAUUGAAGAUCGAGGCUGACGUUACAAAAUUGACAAUUGAGUGUAGUAGGAUAGGAUGAUCCAUUGUGAUUGUGUGGUGGGUUAGAAGUUAUUUCAAGCGAUUAAACAGCUUUUAUGCUACAGAAUAAUACCCUAUGCAAAUACAGACUACAAGUUUUUAAGGCGAGAACUACUUGGACAGUUGAUGGUUUAGCCGAGUAAACUCAACAAAUUGAUUAGUAUUCUAGGUGAGCACCCCUAUUGAAUGGAGAUGGAGAACAUCUCAAGCAUCUAGGUCGAAUUCAAAAACUAAUUGUCAAGGAAUAGAUUUAAGACUAGCUCUUGAGCAAUUCGUUCCAAGUUGUUAGUGUUUUAGGUUUUAUUUGAGACGACUUUUUUAUUACUUCUUAAAACAUAAUUUUAAUUAAAACAAUUUAAAUUUUUAUUAAAAUUUUGUUUUAAAAAGUAAUAAAAACAUUGUCUCAAUGAGUUAGGCUGCAUCUUGACAAACCCAACCUAAACUGAUAUGGGACUUAGAAUGUUGUAUUAGUUUAAAGUCAUGCAAAUAGAUUGAUUCCAUGCCGAUUGCAGCAAUCCUUUCACAAACAUCCUCCAUUUGUUUGCUGAAACAUUUCAAACUCCUUGUGAAUGGUUAAAUGAUUUUGCUUUGAUGGAAAUUACAUAACAAACUUAUGAUUUAGGUCAAGUUCUGAUCUAUCCAUUUUUGAGAACAAAAUAAGCUGAUUCUCAUACGAGCUUGCAAUGAGAAAUGCUCUCUUCUAAUCAAGUUAAUAAGAAGACAAAGAUCAGCGUUGUAUGCUAUAAUCUGUUGAUGUGACGUUCAAUUAAAUUCCAAUUCUGCACCUCGUAGAAGAUUAAAAUUCAAACUUUAGAGUCAGGCAUCCAAGGACUGUGUGCCCACCAUUAAUAAUAAUUUAAUCACCUUCUAUCCAAUCCAUUAUUCUUGCCGAGGAAGGUCUCGAUGCCUGUGAUGCUACAAAUAGCCAUGGUUGGAGAAGCUUGAGAAAACAGAAGACGAAGGCAGAGGGAGGAGAUCAGUAUCAGCAUAAUUUGACAUGGAAAGCAAGAACUUAGGCUCUGAUUCAAAAAUCAUUGAAGUCGAUGACACAGUUGAAAAAAAUAAGGAAGAAUUAAAAGAGAAGAAUGGGGAUGAACUUCCUCAGUGUCAUCAUCAUAGUUCCGAUUCCAAUUCCAAAUCUGGCUCAGGAAGUGACUCUAAUGAUAGCUCUAAAUCAGGCUCUACAAAAGGAUAUAAUGAAGAAAAAUCCAAGGAGAAAGCUCGUCUGAAGAAGAAGCACAAGAGAAGGGCCCUUAAAGGGAAGCUGAAAGAGAAAGCAAGUGAAACAAAAGAUGGAGGAGCACCGGUUAAUAGUGAUGAAGUCAACAAGCUUGAAUGCCAUAGCGAUUCCAGUACGAGUUCAAAAUCUAGCUCCAAAUCAGCCUCGAGCUCUAAAUCUUCCGUCAGUUCCAAAUCCGUCUCGAGCAAAUCUAACUCUGACUCUGGUUCGAAAUCCGGCUCGGAUUCGGGAGGUAAGAAAACCAAAUUGAAGAAGAAAGGGCUGAAGCAGAAGGCAAAAGAAACUUCUUUCCCUGCUGAAGAGGGUAAAGUGCCAGAAAAGAAGAAGCUCACAGAAGCUGAAGAGGAAAUUGAGGCCAAGGGUGCAGAGAAAACAGAAAAUACAACAACGUCAAAGGAAGAAGAGAGCAAGGGAAUAUCAGAAACGAUCAAGGAUCAGCUUCCUGUUUAUGGAAAGAAUGCGGUGGAAAAAAAUACUGAAACUUCGAUAUGAUGUGAUUUCUGUAAAUAUGAACGCUUGCUAUACCGUAAAAGAUGUGUGAAUCUAUAUGUUUGUUUUAUGUGGCAAUUACUAAGUACAAAGGCAAAAUGAUAGCCCUGCUUAUCCGUGUGCAUGAAAUAUAUAUGAAAUAAAGUAAUUGAUGGUAUUUUUCAGCA